AAACCAUGCAUCGAGCAUUUUCAAACUAGUUCCUUCAAAUGCUCUUAUGCUUUAUAUAAUGUUUCAUCUUCAGAUUUCUUGAAUGAUGUAAUGUCAUUCCUAAGCUU
Gossypium raimondii (Peruvian cotton) is the source of this 107-nucleotide non-coding RNA. Lineage: Eukaryota; Viridiplantae; Streptophyta; Magnoliopsida; Malvales; Malvaceae. The record is from Rfam.